GGGAAUGAGAAUGGUCGGGAUAGCUCAG
This 28-nucleotide transfer RNA is filed under the name Falcaria vulgaris. Its description in RNAcentral is "partial tRNA-Phe". Lineage: Eukaryota; Viridiplantae; Streptophyta; Magnoliopsida; Apiales; Apiaceae. The record is from RNAcentral.